CUACGGGUUGCUCCAGUGGGGAAUAUUGGACAAUGGGGGAAACCCUGAUCCAGCAAUGCCGCGUGUGUGAAGAAGGCCUGCGGGUUGUAAAGCACUUUCGGUUGGGAGGACUGCUUCUAGCACUAAUAUUGUUGGAAGUUGACGUUACCUUCAGAAGAAGCACCGGCUAACUCCGUGCCAGCAGCCGCGGUAAUACGGAGGGUGCAAGCGUGAAUCGGAAUUACUGGGCGUAAAGCGCGCGUAGGCGGCUAGAUCAGUCGGGUGUGAAAGCCCCGGGCUUAACCUGGGAACUGCAUCCGAUACUGUCUAGCUUGAGUACAGGAGAGGAGAGUGGAAUUCCACAUGUAGCGGUGAAAUGCGUAGAUAUGUGGAGGAACACCAAUGGCGAAGACAGCUCUCUGGCCUGAUACUGACGCUGAGGUGCGAAAGCGUGGGGAGCAAACAGGAUUAGAUACCCGGGUAGUC
This 465-nucleotide ribosomal RNA is filed under the name uncultured bacterium. RNAcentral's name for it is "partial 16S ribosomal RNA". It matches the Rfam family "Bacterial small subunit ribosomal RNA", at positions 339 to 795 of the family's 1533-position model. The record is from RNAcentral.